UGGGGAAUCUUGCACAAUGGGGGAAACCCUGAUGCGGCGACGCCGCGUGAGCGAUGAAGCCCUUCGGGGUGUAAAGCUCUUUCGACGGGAACGAUAAUGACGGUACCCGAAGAAGAAGCUGCGGCUAACUACGUGCCAGCAGCCGCGGUAAUACGUAGGCAGCAAGCGUUGUUCGGAAUUACUGGGCGUAAAGAGUGUGUAGGCGGUGUUCUAAGUCUGUUGUGAAAUCUCCCGGCUCAACUGGGAGGGUGCGGCGGAGACUGGAAUGCUAGAGUAUGGGAGAGGUAAGCGGAAUUCCUGGUGUAGCGGUGAAAUGCGUAGAUAUCAGGAGGAACACCUGUGGUGUAGACAGCUUACUGGACCAUGACUGACGCUGAGACACGAAAGCGUGGGUAGCAAACAGGAUUAGAUACCCUGGUAGUCCACGCCCUAAACGAUGCAUACUUGGUGUGAGCCAUUCAUUUGGUUCGUGCCGGAGCUAACGCGUUAAGUAUGCCGCCUGGGGAGUACGGUCGCAAGGCUG
This 523-nucleotide ribosomal RNA is filed under the name uncultured bacterium. RNAcentral describes it as "bacterial SSU rRNA". It matches the Rfam family "Bacterial small subunit ribosomal RNA", at positions 355 to 896 of the family's 1533-position model. The record is from RNAcentral.